ACCAAACAGUAAGUUACAAAUGCAGCACAGCCAACAAGGCAUAAGAUGGAUUCUUCAGCAGCCAAUAGCCAUGCACAUGUCCAUAGCAAACCCCUCCUCUAUCCACAUAUAUUCCCCACCCUCACUAAUUUCCUCAUCCUCCUCCACCUCCAAAACACCACAAAAUUGGCGCUGUGUCCGAAAUGGGCUUUUGUUGUUCAAAUCUUGUUGACUCUGAUCAAUCUGAAUAGAGCCACUUCUUCUUCUUCGGACCCUCUUGUUCAGCAAGGGUUGGACAAGGUCCUUCAGCUCCCAGGCCAAACCUUUAAAAUAUCUCCUUUGCACUCUAUGCUGGGUACGUCACAGUUAAUAGUAGUACACUGGGAGGGCUCUAUUCUACUGGUUCAUUGAGGCUGCUGAAGACCCUUCUUCUAAGCCUCUGGUUCUUUGGCUCAAUGGAGGGCCUGGAUAUUCAUCCAUUGCUAAUAGGCAGUCAGAGGAAAUAGGGCCGUUUCACAUUAAGGAGGACGGGAAGACCCUUUAUUUGAAUCCAUACUCUUGGAAUCAAGGCUACCACUUCUUCAACAAUCUUCAUACAGAAAAUAUGUAAUGAAGAUCACUUCCCAUCUAAGGUGGCUUGCUUAUCCCACAUUAUUGUCAUUGACAACAUAAAGAAGAACUUGAAUGAAACCCAACUAAAGAUGUUUAAAAAAAUCUUGUUUUGACCACUUCUUAGGUAUGGCUGAUUUGAAAUUUUCUGCUCAAAUUGUUCAUAAUAUGUUUUUACACCAAUGUGACACCAAAAGAGAAGAUGAGAUGUGGAUACUUGUUCACUCAAAAGGAUUGAGAUUUAGUGUGUCGGAGUUUGCAUUGAUAACUGGGUUGAAAUUUGGUAAUAUUUCACAAUUUGACUUAACAUCUUUAAGAAUAAGAUAUCAAUAUUUCAAUGGAGAGAAUAAGAUUCGUAAUAAUUGAUUGGAGGAGGUUUUCAUCUCAUUAUGUAAGAAAGGAAAGAGAACAAGCACAAAAAGGACAAAAAAAGAAGGCAAAGGUAAGUGGGAAAUCAAAUCUUGAUGAAGAUAUUGUAAUGUUAGCAUUGUUGUACUUUGUUGAGCAUGUCUUACUAGGAAAUGAAGGGAAUAAUUUGAUAGAUUUACAAUGGGUUCAACUUGUUGAUAGUCUAGAGGAGUUCAACAAGUAUCCUUGGGGAAGAAUUUGCUAUGAGAGAACAUUGUUUGGGUUGUAAAGGGCUUUGGACAAAAGAUAGUCAAAAUAUGUAGAGAAGAAAAAACGAAAAGGGAAAUGCAACCUAUGAAGCAUAUGCACUUGUGGGAUUUCCAUAUGCCUUUCAAAUUUGGGCAUAUGAAAUCAUUCCAUUGCUUGGAAUGAAAUAUGCAAGUCACAUUGGUAGAAGUUUCCCCAGAAUUUUAAAUUGGACAAGUACUGCAACUUCAAAAUACACUGAGAUUCAAUCCUUAUUUGUAAAGUCAAAUUUAUCUUUGCAUUCCAUACUCAUUCCCACAUUGGAAAAGCGUGAACAAGAGUAUGUGAAAUGUUUUGAAUUCGAGGUUGAAUCAAAUGAUGUCUUCCAAGAUGAUGUGAAUGAUUGGGAGAAAGAUGAAGAUCAUGAAGAAGCUGAGGCCUAUACCACUGCUACAACAACAUCAAUGAAAGGUGGAAAAGAAGGUUGGAAACCUGAGUAAUGAGCCAUAUACUGCAACAAUGGGAAAUGAAACAAUGUUGGACUUCAAAAAAAUUGAGACAUCGAGGAAAGACAAUAAUAAGGAGGCUUUGAUAGAUGACCCCCCUGAUGCAACAGUAGUUCAUGUUUUCCCACAUCAAGUAUCACCGAAUAUCUUUAAGCAAAGAAGGGAGCAAAAAGUGGAUGGUUGUUGGAGGAUGAAUCAAAAGGCAUGGAACAAAUACAUUUUACCGGAAGAUGACAUCCUCAUCGAUUAUGCCAUGGGUUUUUAUCCUAGGCCUUCUUUGAAAUGAUCUGAGGUUGAUGUCAUAUAUGUUCCUAUCAAUUUAAGGAACACACAUUGGGUAUUGGGAGUUGUCCACCUUCGUAGUAGGAAAAUUUACAUUUAUGACUCUUUAAAGUCAAUUAACAAACCCAAUGGAUUGAAAACACUCAUCACACCAUUAGUAAUGUUGUUACCACAUAUCUUAAGUGCUAUAAAAUACUAUGAGGAGAAUGGUGACCCCAAGGGUGAUAAAGGGUGGGACAUUGAGAUAUUGAACAACAUUCCACAACAAACAAAGGAGUAUGUACAAUAUUUUCCAUGGCAACAUGCAUAUUUCAUUAUAUACACAAUAAUAUUGAAAAUUGUUAACAUCACAUUUUUUGUGUUCAUGCAAUGGUGAUUGUGGAAUGUUUUUUUUAUCAAAUUUGUGGAAUACCUAAUGCACAACCAUCCAAUGGAUACACUAAUAGGCGAGCAGAUGGAUUGGUUUCGUGAGAAGAUGGCAAUGAAGUUAUUUUUCCAUAAAGAACUUCCUAUGUGAUCCCACCACUGUAAAUGGAUUGUAAAUAGAUAGUGGAAGAUGUUUCUAUGUAAUGAAAUUGAAGUUUUUUGUUUGACAUAUUUCUUUAUUAUGACACUUAUUUAAA
Vitis riparia (riverbank grape) is the source of this 2593-nucleotide long non-coding RNA. RefSeq lists it as uncharacterized. The transcript has 6 exons. The record is from RefSeq and is a predicted model, not a curated record. NCBI's taxonomy places the organism in Eukaryota, Viridiplantae, Streptophyta, Magnoliopsida, Vitales, Vitaceae.